UACGUAGGGUGCGAGCGUUGUCCGGAAUUACUGGGCGUAAAGAGCUCGUAGGUGGUUUGUCGCGUUGUUCGUGAAAUCUCACGGCUUAACUGUGAGCGUGCGGGCGAUACGGGCAGACUGGAGUACUGCAGGGGAGACUGGAAUUCCUGGUGUAGCGGUGGAAUGCGCAGAUAUCGGGAAGAACACCCGUGGCGAAGGCGGCUCUCUGGGACGGUACUGACGCUGAGACGCGAAAGCGUGGGGAGCGAACAGG
This 253-nucleotide ribosomal RNA is filed under the name uncultured bacterium. RNAcentral describes it as "partial 16S ribosomal RNA". It matches the Rfam family "Bacterial small subunit ribosomal RNA", at positions 524 to 776 of the family's 1533-position model. The record is from RNAcentral.